Molecule: ribosomal RNA, 445 nt
Filed under: uncultured bacterium
Lineage: Bacteria
Description: partial 16S ribosomal RNA
Rfam family: Bacterial small subunit ribosomal RNA
Source: RNAcentral
UCCAGACUCCUACGGGAGGCAGCAGUGGGGAAUAUUGCACAAUGGGGGAAACCCUGAUGCAGCGACGCCGCGUGAGUGAAGAAGUAUUUCGGUAUGUAAAGCUCUCUCAGCAGGAAAGAAAAUGACGGUACCUGACUAAGAAGCCCCGGCUAACUACGUGCCAGCAGCCGCGGUAAUACGUAGGGGGCAAGCGUUAUCCGGAUUUACUGGGUGUAAAGGGAGCGUAGACGGUGAAGCAAGUCUGAAGUGAAAGGCGGGGGCUCAACCCCCGGACUGCUUUGGAAACUGUUUGACUGGAGUGCAGGAGAGGUAAGUGGAAUUCCUAGUGUAGCGGUGAAAUGCGUAGAUAUUAGGAGGAACACCAGUGGCGAAGGCGGCUUACUGGACGGUAACUGACGUUGAGGCCCGAAAGCGUGGGGAGCAAACAGGAUUAGAUACCCUCGUA